Molecule: ribosomal RNA, 453 nt
Filed under: uncultured bacterium
Lineage: Bacteria
Description: bacterial SSU rRNA
Rfam family: Bacterial small subunit ribosomal RNA
Source: RNAcentral
UACGGAAGGCAGCAGUGGGGAAUAUUGCACAAUGGGCGCAAGCCUGAUGCAGCCAUGCCGCGUGUAUGAAGAAGGCCUUCGGGUUGUAAAGUACUUUCAGUCGUGAGGAAGGUGUUAAGGUUAAUAACCUUAGCAAUUGACGUUAGCGACAGAAGAAGCACCGGCUAACUCCGUGCCAGCAGCCGCGGUAAUACGGAGGGUGCGAGCGUUAAUCGGAAUUACUGGGCGUAAAGGGCACGCAGGCGGUUAAUUAAGUUGGAUGUGAAAUCCCCGGGCUUAACCUGGGAAUGGCAUUCAAGACUGGUUAGCUAGAGUCUUGUAGAGGGGGUAGAAUUCCAUGUGUAGCGGUGAAAUGCGCAGAGAUGUGGAGGAAUACCGGGUGGCGAAGGCGGCCCCUGGACGAAAGACUGACGCUCAUGUGCGAAAGCGUGGGGAGCAAACAGGAUUAGAUAC